GAUGAACGCUAGCUACAGGCUUAACACAUGCAAGUCGAGGGGUAACGAGAGGAAAGCUUGCUUUCCUUGUCGACGACCGGCGCACGGGUGAGUAACGCGUAUCCAACCUGCCCCCAACUAGGGAAAAAACUUGCGAAAGUAAGACUAAUACCCUAUAAUUUCCGCAGAUGUCAUGUGACGAGGAAUAAAGAUUUAGCGGUUGUGGAUGGGGAUGCGUCUAAUUAGUUUGUUGGCGGGGUAACGGCCCCCCAAGGAAACGAUAAGUAGGGGUUAUGAGAGGAAGGCCCCCCACAUGGGACCUGAGAAACGGUCCAAGCUCCUAGGGGAGGCAGCAGUGAGGAAUAUUGGUCAAUGGGCGGAAGCCUGAACCGGCCAAGUAGCGUGCAGAAUGACGGCCCUAUGGGUUGUAAAUUGCUUUUAUACAGAAAUAAAAUUAGCCACGUGUGGUUUUUUGUAGUUACUGUAUGAAUAAGGACCGGCUAAUUCCGUGCCAGCCGCCGCGGUAA
This 506-nucleotide ribosomal RNA is filed under the name uncultured bacterium. RNAcentral's name for it is "partial 16S ribosomal RNA". It matches the Rfam family "Bacterial small subunit ribosomal RNA", at positions 28 to 523 of the family's 1533-position model. The record is from RNAcentral.